GGAAGCGCUUGGUACGCUGGCGCGGCCCUCGGUCUUCAAAACCGAUGGGGCCUCGGUGAACCCGGGGUCCGGUGGGUUCGAUUCCCAUGCGCUUCCG
Molecule: transfer RNA, 97 nt
Filed under: Phycisphaerales bacterium
Lineage: Bacteria; Pseudomonadati; Planctomycetota; Phycisphaerae; Phycisphaerales
Description: tRNA-Sec
Rfam family: Selenocysteine transfer RNA
Source: RNAcentral